CCAAACUAGCAUAAUGCAGUUCCCUACAAUGAUAGAAUUAGAGUUUAUAUCUCAUGCACUAUAUUAUGUGAACAUACAGAAUCUUAGGAAACUUAGCAAACAAAAUCUAAAAAUUUAUGUUACCAGUAAAACAACUCUGAAUAGUUAAUUUACAAGUCCAAAGCAAAAUUGUCUAGAAAACGGAACCAAGCUUCAGGGGAAAACGAAAUUAAGAUCGUCACAACUCGAUUUGAUCCCAUAAAGGAAGCUAACGAAGAUUCAGAGAAGCUAGCUACACUCGAAUUCUGUGACUACUGAAACUAAUAACCGAUCCCGAAACGAUUCGAGAG
Arabidopsis thaliana (thale cress) is the source of this 329-nucleotide long non-coding RNA. RefSeq annotates it as other RNA. The record is from RefSeq. NCBI's taxonomy places the organism in Eukaryota, Viridiplantae, Streptophyta, Magnoliopsida, Brassicales, Brassicaceae. The transcript has a single exon.